AAUCAACGCUGGCGGCGUGCCUCAGACAUGCAAGUCGAACGCGAAAGCUCCCUUCGGGGGGCAAGUAGAGUGGCGCACGGGUGAGUAACACGUAGGUAAUCUACCUUCGGGUGGGGAAUAACAACCGGAAACGGUUGCUAAUACCGCAUAAUGCAGCGGCACCUAAUGGUGACAGUUGUUAAAGCGGGGGAUCGAAAGAUCUCGCGCCUGAAGAGGAGCCUGCGGCGGAUUAGCAGGUUUGGUAGGGUAACGGCCUACCAAGGCGACGAUCCGUAGCCGGCCUGAGAGGGCGACCGGCCACACUGGGACUGAAACACGGCCCAGACUCCUACGGGAGGCAGCAGUGGGGAAUCUUGCGCAAUGGGCGAAAGCCUGACGCAGCGACGCCGCGUGA
This 394-nucleotide ribosomal RNA is filed under the name uncultured bacterium. RNAcentral's name for it is "bacterial SSU rRNA". It matches the Rfam family "Bacterial small subunit ribosomal RNA", at positions 29 to 404 of the family's 1533-position model. The record is from RNAcentral.